Molecule: ribosomal RNA, 253 nt
Filed under: uncultured bacterium
Lineage: Bacteria
Description: partial 16S ribosomal RNA
Rfam family: Bacterial small subunit ribosomal RNA
Source: RNAcentral
GACAGAGGGUGCUAGCGUUGUUCGGAAUUACUGGGCGUAAAGGGCGCGUAGGCGGCUUAUCAAGUCAGGCGUAAAAUUCCCGGGCUCAACCUGGGGGCUGCGCUUGAUACUGAUGAGCUUGAAUGCGGGAGAGGAUAGUGGAAUUCCCAGUGUAGAGGUGAAAUUCGUAGAUAUUGGGAAGAACACCGGUGGCGAAGGCGGCUAUCUGGCCCGUAAUUGACGCUGAGGCGCGAAAGCGUGGGGAGCAAACAGG